Molecule: ribosomal RNA, 2414 nt
Filed under: Escherichia coli
Lineage: Bacteria; Pseudomonadati; Pseudomonadota; Gammaproteobacteria; Enterobacterales; Enterobacteriaceae
Description: partial 23S ribosomal RNA
Rfam family: Bacterial large subunit ribosomal RNA
Source: RNAcentral
UGUGAGCUCGAUGAGUAGGGCGGGACACGUGGUAUCCUGUCUGAAUAUGGGGGGACCAUCCUCCAAGGCUAAAUACUCCUGACUGACCGAUAGUGAACCAGUACCGUGAGGGAAAGGCGAAAAGAACCCCGGCGAGGGGAGUGAAAAAGAACCUGAAACCGUGUACGUACAAGCAGUGGGAGCCUCUUUAUGGGGUGACUGCGUACCUUUUGUAUAAUGGGUCAGCGACUUAUAUUCUGUAGCAAGGUUAACCGAAUAGGGGAGCCGAAGGGAAACCGAGUCUUAACUGGGCGUUAAGUUGCAGGGUAUAGACCCGAAACCCGGUGAUCUAGCCAUGGGCAGGUUGAAGGUUGGGUAACACUAACUGGAGGACCGAACCGACUAAUGUUGAAAAAUUAGCGGAUGACUUGUGGCUGGGGGUGAAAGGCCAAUCAAACCGGGAGAUAGCUGGUUCUCCCCGAAAGCUAUUUAGGUAGCGCCUCGUGAAUUCAUCUCCGGGGGUAGAGCACUGUUUCGGCAAGGGGGUCAUCCCGACUUACCAACCCGAUGCAAACUGCGAAUACCGGAGAAUGUUAUCACGGGAGACACACGGCGGGUGCUAACGUCCGUCGUGAAGAGGGAAACAACCCAGACCGCCAGCUAAGGUCCCAAAGUCAUGGUUAAGUGGGAAACGAUGUGGGAAGGCCCAGACAGCCAGGAUGUUGGCUUAGAAGCAGCCAUCAUUUAAAGAAAGCGUAAUAGCUCACUGGUCGAGUCGGCCUGCGCGGAAGAUGUAACGGGGCUAAACCAUGCACCGAAGCUGCGGCAGCGACACUAUGUGUUGUUGGGUAGGGGAGCGUUCUGUAAGCCUGUGAAGGUGGCCUGUGAGGGUUGCUGGAGGUAUCAGAAGUGCGAAUGCUGACAUAAGUAACGAUAAAGCGGGUGAAAAGCCCGCUCGCCGGAAGACCAAGGGUUCCUGUCCAACGUUAAUCGGGGCAGGGUGAGUCGACCCCUAAGGCGAGGCCGAAAGGCGUAGUCGAUGGGAAACAGGUUAAUAUUCCUGUACUUGGUGUUACUGCGAAGGGGGGACGGAGAAGGCUAUGUUGGCCGGGCGACGGUUGUCCCGGUUUAAGCGUGUAGGCUGGUUUUCCAGGCAAAUCCGGAAAACCAAGGCUGAGGCGUGAUGACGAGGCACUACGGUGCUGAAGCGACAAAUGCCCUGCUUCCAGGAAAAGCCUCUAAGCAUCAGGUAACAUCAAAUCGUACCCCAAACCGACACAGGUGGUCAGGUAGAGAAUACCAAGGCGCUUGAGAGAACUCGGGUGAAGGAACUAGGCAAAAUGGUGCCGUAACUUCGGGAGAAGGCACGCUGAUAUGUAGGUGAAGCGACUUGCUCGUGGAGCUGAAAUCAGUCGAAGAUACCAGCUGGCUGCAACUGUUUAUUAAAAACACAGCACUGUGCAAACACGAAAGUGGACGUAUACGGUGUGACGCCUGCCCGGUGCCGGAAGGUUAAUUGAUGGGGUUAGCGGUAACGCGAAGCUCUUGAUCGAAGCCCCGGUAAACGGCGGCCGUAACUAUAACGGUCCUAAGGUAGCGAAAUUCCUUGUCGGGUAAGUUCCGACCUGCACGAAUGGCGUAAUGAUGGCCAGGCUGUCUCCACCCGAGACUCAGUGAAAUUGAACUCGCUGUGAAGAUGCAGUGUACCCGCGGCAAGACGGAAAGACCCCGUGAACCUUUACUAUAGCUUGACACUGAACAUUGAGCCUUGAUGUGUAGGAUAGGUGGGAGGCUUUGAAGUGUGGACGCCAGUCUGCAUGGAGCCGACCUUGAAAUACCACCCUUUAAUGUUUGAUGUUCUAACGUUGGCCCGUAAUCCGGGUUGCGGACAGUGUCUGGUGGGUAGUUUGACUGGGGCGGUCUCCUCCUAAAGAGUAACGGAGGAGCACGAAGGUUGGCUAAUCCUGGUCGGACAUCAGGAGGUUAGUGCAAUGGCAUAAGCCAGCUUGACUGCGAGCGUGACGGCGCGAGCAGGUGCGAAAGCAGGUCAUAGUGAUCCGGUGGUUCUGAAUGGAAGGGCCAUCGCUCAACGGAUAAAAGGUACUCCGGGGAUAACAGGCUGAUACCGCCCAAGAGUUCAUAUCGACGGCGGUGUUUGGCACCUCGAUGUCGGCUCAUCACAUCCUGGGGCUGAAGUAGGUCCCAAGGGUAUGGCUGUUCGCCAUUUAAAGUGGUACGCGAGCUGGGUUUAGAACGUCGUGAGACAGUUCGGUCCCUAUCUGCCGUGGGCGCUGGAGAACUGAGGGGGGCUGCUCCUAGUACGAGAGGACCGGAGUGGACGCAUCACUGGUGUUCGGGUUGUCAUGCCAAUGGCACUGCCCGGUAGCUAAAUGCGGAAGAGAUAAGUGCUGAAAGCAUCUAAGCACGAAACUUGC